GGCUGAUCCAAAGGGUAGGAAGUGUAUCUUCAAUUGAGCUGGUUCACAGUUAAGCAGAUUAAGACUCUUUGUUCUAUUCUUUCCUACCUUCCCACUACUGCCAUUUGGACUAGUCUUUA
RNAcentral lists this non-coding RNA (119 nucleotides) under Macaca nemestrina (pig-tailed macaque). The record is from RNAcentral. Lineage: Eukaryota; Metazoa; Chordata; Mammalia; Primates; Cercopithecidae.